GUGAAUCAUCAAAUUUUUGAACGCAUAUUGCACUCUCUGGUAUUACGGAGAGUAUGCCUGUUUGAGGGUAAUUAUAAAGAAUAUUUACAAAUUUUUUUUGGUCAAUGUAAAUGAGUUCUCUGCGUUUAUAGCGGUAGCUUGAAAUAAAUGGUGAAGACUGAUUUUAGUCGGGAGGCGUAAUAAUAUUAUUUCGCGAAAUGUUCAUUAUGUGACUAUCAAGUUUUGAGGGAUAUAAAUUUGGUUUGUAUGCGAUUAAUAUGAGU
This 263-nucleotide unclassified non-coding RNA is filed under the name Ambisporaceae sp. Its description in RNAcentral is "partial contains 5.8S ribosomal RNA and internal transcribed spacer 2". The stretch from base 1 to 71 matches the Rfam family "5.8S ribosomal RNA", at positions 84 to 154 of the family's 154-position model. Lineage: Eukaryota; Fungi; Glomeromycota; Glomeromycetes; Archaeosporales; Ambisporaceae. The record is from RNAcentral.